This 459-nucleotide ribosomal RNA is filed under the name uncultured bacterium. Its description in RNAcentral is "partial 16S ribosomal RNA". It matches the Rfam family "Bacterial small subunit ribosomal RNA", at positions 338 to 795 of the family's 1533-position model. The record is from RNAcentral.
CCUACGGGUGGCAGCAGUGAGGAAUAUUGGUCAAUGGACGAGAGUCUGAACCAGCCAAGUAGCGUGAAGGAUGACUGCCCUAUGGGUUGUAAACUUCUUUUAUAUGGGAAUAAAUUGCUCCACGUGUGGGAUUUUGUAUGUACCAUAUGAAUAAGGAUCGGCUACUCCGUUGCAGGAGGCGCGGUUAAACCGAGGAUUCCGGCGUUAACCGGGUUUAAUGGGGUUAAAGGGGGCGUAGGUGGAGUGCUAAGUCAGGUGUGAAAGUUUGGGGCUCAAACGUAAGAUUGCAGUUGAAACUGGCAGUCUUGAGUACAGGAGAGGUGGGCGGAAUUCGUGGUGUAGCGGUGAAAUGCUUAGAUAUCACGAAGAACUCCGAUUGCGAAGGCAGCUCACUGGACUGCAACUGACGCUGAGGCUCGAAAGUGUGGGUAUCAAACAGGAUUAGAUACCCCAGUAGUC